This 606-nucleotide ribosomal RNA is filed under the name Zygaena laeta laeta. Its description in RNAcentral is "partial 12S ribosomal RNA". Lineage: Eukaryota; Metazoa; Arthropoda; Insecta; Lepidoptera; Zygaenidae. The record is from RNAcentral.
UGCGGUUAUACAAAAAUUAAAUUAAAUUUUUUUGGGAUUUAAUUAAUAAAAAUUUAAUUAAUAAUUUAAAUUUUAAAUUAUAAAGUGAAAUUUUAAUUUAAUUAAAAUUUAUUUAUUUUUAUGAUAUUAAUAAAUUUUAUAAAAAACUAGGAUUAGAUACCCUAUUAUAAAAAUUUAAAUUUAAAUAAUCUUAAAAUAGUAUAUAAUUUUUUAUAGAAACUUAAAUAAUUUGGCGGUAUUUUAGUUCAUUUAGAGGAAUCUGUCUAAUAAUUGAUAAUCCACGAUUAAAUUUACUUAAUUUUUAAUUUUGUAUAUCGUUGUUAAAAAAAUAUUUUUAAAUAAUUUUAAUAUUUUAAAAUUUAUAUGAAAAAUUAAAUCAGAUCAAGAUGCAGAUUAUAAUUAAGAAUAUGAUGGAUUACAAUAAAUUUUAUUUUAUUUGGAUAUUAAUUUGAAAUAAAUUGAUUGAAAUUGGAUUUAAAUGUAAUUUUAUUUAUUUUAAUAAAAUGAUUAAAAAUUAAAAUAUGUACAUAUUGCCCGUCGCUUUCAUUAACAAAUUGAAAUAAGUCGUAACAAAGUAGAGGUACUGGAAAGUGUUUCUAGAAAGAU